This 618-nucleotide ribosomal RNA is filed under the name Bulleraceae sp. RNAcentral describes it as "partial large subunit ribosomal RNA". It matches the Rfam family "Eukaryotic large subunit ribosomal RNA", at positions 48 to 653 of the family's 3401-position model. The record is from RNAcentral. Lineage: Eukaryota; Fungi; Basidiomycota; Tremellomycetes; Tremellales; Bulleraceae.
AAGCGGAGGAAAAGAAACUAACAAGGAUUCCCCUAGUAACGGCGAGUGAACCGGGAAGAGCUCAAAUUUGUAAUCUGGCGUGCUCUGCGCGUCCGAGUUGUAAUCUAUAGAAACGUCUUCCGUGCCGGACCGCGUCCAAGUCCCCUGGAAUGGGGUAUCAAAGAGGGUGAGAAUCCCGUGCUUGAUGCGACGACCGGUGCUCUGUGAUGCGUUCUCUACGAGUCGAGUUGUUUGGGAAUGCAGCUCAAAACGGGUGGUGAAUUCCAUCUAAGGCUAAAUAUUGGCGAGAGACCGAUAGCGAACAAGUACCGUGAGGGAAAGAUGAAAAGCACUUUGGAAAGAGAGUUAAACAGUAUGUGAAAUUGUUGAAAGGGAAACGAUUGAAGUCAGUCGUGAGCCCGGGAUUCCGCCGGUUCUGCCGGUCCAUUUCCCGGGUUUGGGUCAACAUCAGUUCCCGUCGGCGGAUAAAGGCUUUGGGAAUGUGGCUCCCCCGGGAGUGUUAUAGCCCUUUGUCGCAUACGUCGGUGGGGACUGAGGAAUGCAGCUCGCCUUUAUGGCCGGGGCUUCGGCCCACGUUCGAGCUUAGGAUGUUGGCAUAAUGGCUUUAAACGACCCGUC